GCCUCGGUAGCGCAGUAGGCAGCCCGUCAGUCUCAUAAUCUGAAGGUCGUGAGUUCGAACCUCACCCGGGGCA
RNAcentral lists this transfer RNA (73 nucleotides) under Trichonephila clavata. RNAcentral's name for it is "tRNA-Met". It matches the Rfam family "tRNA". From Rfam's summary of the family: Transfer RNA (tRNA) molecules are approximately 80 nucleotides in length. The record is from RNAcentral. Lineage: Eukaryota; Metazoa; Arthropoda; Arachnida; Araneae; Nephilidae.